RNAcentral lists this ribosomal RNA (1881 nucleotides) under freshwater metagenome. Its description in RNAcentral is "bacterial LSU rRNA". It matches the Rfam family "Bacterial large subunit ribosomal RNA", at positions 27 to 1985 of the family's 2925-position model. The record is from RNAcentral.
GAUGCCUAGGCGGUAGAAGGCGAUGAAGGACGUUGUAGCCUGCGAAAAGCUUCGGGGAGCUGGCAAACAAGCUUCGAUCCGGAGAUGUCCGAAUGGGGAAACCCACCGAGUAAUCGGUAUCAGUCACGAUAAGCCCCUUAAGUAACCAGAGGAAAAGAAAUCAACCGAGAUUCCCAAAGUAGUGGCGAGCGAAAUGGGAGCAGCCUUCAAUAUUUAGCAUUUGAAUUAACCGAAUUUUCUGGAAAGUUAAACCAUAGUAGGUGAUAGUCCUGUAGGUGAAAAUUUAAAUGUGGAACUAAGAUUGAGAAAAGUAGGGCGGGACACGUGGAAUCCUGUUCGAAGAUGGGGGGACCAUCCUCCAAGGCUAAAUACUCGUAAUCGACCGAUAGUGAACCAGUACCGUGAGGGAAAGGCGAAAAGAACCCCGGGAGGGGAGUGAAAUAGAUCCUGAAACCGCAUGCAUACAAACAGUGGGAGCCCGUAAGGGUGACUGCGUACCUUUUGUAUAAUGGGUCAGCGACUUACAUUCAGUAGCAAGCUUAACCGAAUAGGGGAAGCGCAGCGAAAGCGAGUCUUAAUAGGGCGAUUAGUUGCUGGGUGUAGACCCGAAACCAGAUGAUCUACUCAUGGCCAGGAUGAAGCGAGGGUAACACCUCGUGGAGGUCCGAACCCACUAGUGUUGAAAAACUAGGGGAUGAGCUGUGGGUAGGGGUGAAAGGCUAAACAAAUCUGGAAAUAGCUGGUUCUCUCCGAAAACUAUUUAGGUAGUGCCUCAUGUAUCACCUUUGGGGGUAGAGCACUGUUAUGGCUAGGGGGUCAUCGCGACUUACCAAACCAUUGCAAACUCCGAAUACCAAAGAGUGCGAGCAUGGGAGACAGACAUCGGGUGCUAACGUCCGGUGUCGAAAGGGAAACAACCCAGACCCUCAGCUAAGGUCCCAAAGAUAUAGUUAAGUGGUAAACGAAGUGGGAAGGCAUAAACAGUCAGGAGGUUGGCUUAGAAGCAGCCACCCUUUAAAGAAAGCGUAAUAGCUCACUGAUCGAGUCGUCCUGCGCGGAAGAUGUAACGGGGCUUAAACUAUACACCGAAGCUAGGGAUUUACAGUAAUGUAGAUGGUAGGAGAGCGUUCCGUAAGCCUGUGAAGGUGGCUUGUAAAGGCUGCUGGAGGUAUCGGAAGUGCGAAUGCUGACAUGAGUAGCGAUAAAGGGAGUGAAAGGCUCCCUCGCCGAAAACCCAAGGUUUCCUGUGCAACGCUAAUCGGCGCAGGGUGAGUCGGCCCCUAAGGCGAGGCAGAAAUGCGUAGCUGAUGGGAAACUGGUUAAUAUUCCAGUACCUUUGUUCAAUGCGAUGUGGGGACGGAGAAGGUUAGCUCAGCCGGGUGUUGGAUGUCCCGGUUCAAGCGUGUAGAUAUGUUGCUUAGGCAAAUCCGGGCGACUAAAUCGAGACGUGAUAACGAAACACUCUUCGGAGUGCCAAGUGAGUGAUACCAUGCUUCCAGGAAAAGCCACUAAGCUUCAGUUGAAUGAAGACCGUACCGUAAACCGACACAGGUGGGUAGGAUGAGAAUUCUAAGGCGCUUGAGAGAACUCAGGAGAAGGAACUCGGCAAAAUGACACCGUAACUUCGGGAUAAGGUGUGCCCUUGGUAUGUGUAGCGUUUCACACGCGAAGCAGAAAAGGGUUGCAAAAAAUAGGUGGCUGCGACUGUUUAAUAAAAACAUAGCACUCUGCAAACACGUAAGUGGACGUAUAGAGUGUGACGCCUGCCCGGUGCCGGAAGGUUAAAUGAUGGGGUGCAAGCUCUUGAUUGAAGCCCCGGUAAACGGCGGCCGUAACUAUAACGGUCCUAAGGUAGCGAAAUUCCUUGUCGGGUAAGUUCCG